AGGUUAAGUUAACAAGGGCGCAUGGUGAAUGCCUUGGCACUAGGAGCCGAUGAAGGACGGGACUAACACCGAUAUGCUUCGGGGAGCUGUACGUAAGCUAUGAUCCGGAGAUUUCCGAAUGGGGCAACCCAGCAGUUUUAAUCAACUGUUACCACUAGAUGAAUUCAUAGUCUAGUUGGAGGUAAACGCUGUGAACUGAAACAUCUCAUUAGCAGCAGGAAUAUAAAGAAAUUUCGAUUCCCUAAGUAGCGGCGAGCGAACGGGGAACAGCCCAAACCAAAGUGCUUGCACUUUGGGGUUGUAGGACUGAACAUUUGAGUUACCAAAGAACUUGAUAGUCGAAGGAUUUGGGAAAAUCCGCCAUAGAUGGUGAUAGCCCAGUAGAUUAAAUCAAAUUCUCUCAGUUCAGGAUCCUGAGUACGGCGGAACACGUGAAAUUCCGUCGGAAUCCGGGAGGACCAUCUCCCAAGGCUAAAUACUACCUAGUGACCGAUAGUGAACCAGUACCGUGAGGGAAAGGUGAAAAGCACCCCGGGAGGGGAGUGAAAUAGUUCCUGAAACCAUGUGCCUACAAUAAGUCAGAGCGCGUUAAUGCGUGAUGGCGUGCCUUUUGUAGAAUGAACCGGCGAGUUAUGAUCCCGUGCAAGGUUAAGACUAAAAAGUCGGAGCCGUAGCGAAAGCGAGUCUGAAAUGGGCGUUUUGAGUACGAGGUUAUAGACCCGAAACCAGGUGACCUAUCCAUGUCCAGGUUGAAGGUGCGGUAAAACGCACUGGAGGACCGAACCCGUGUAAGUUGAAAAUUGCUGGGAUGAGGUGUGGAUAGCGGUGAAAUUCCAAACGAACUUGGAGAUAGCUGGUUCUCUCCGAAAUAGCUUUAGGGCUAGCCUCGGAAUUAGGAUCAUGGAGGUAGAGCACUAUUUGGACUAGGGGCCCGUCUUGGGUUACUGAAUUCAGAUAAACUCCGAAUGCCAUUGAUUCAUAUCCGGGAGUCAGACGAUGAGUGAUAAGAUCCACCGUCGAAAGGGGAACAGCCCAGACCAUCAGUUAAGGUCCCUAAAUGUAUGCUAAGUGGAAAAGGAUGUGGAGUUGCAUAGACAACUAGGAUGUUGGCUCAGAAGCAGCCACCAUUUAAAGAGUGCGUAAUAGCUCACUAGUCGAGUGAUCCUGCGCCGAAAAUGUACCGGGGCUAAGCAUACUACCGAAACCAUGGAUGCGACCAUUAGGUCGCGUGAUAGGAGAGCGUUCUAAGGGCGGUGAAGCAAGAUCGUGAGGACUUGUGGAGCGCUUAGAAGUGAGAAUGCCGGUAUGAGUAGCGAAAGAUAGGUGAGAAUCCUAUCCACCGAAUGACUAAGGUUUCCUGGGGAAGGCUCGUCCUCCCAGGGUUAGUCGGGACCUAAGUCGAGGCCGAGAGGCGUAGACGAUGGAUAACAGGUUGAGAUUCCUGUACUAGUUAAGUGCGUUUGAGCAAUGGAGGGACGCAGGAGGCUAAGAUGUGCAUUCUGUUGGAUUAGAAUGUCCAAGCAGUAAGUCUUGUGAAGAGUCAAAUGCUUUUCACUUUAAGGACAAGCUGUGAUGGGGAGCGAAAUUUAGUAGCGAAGCGUCUGAUGUCACACUGCCGAGAAAAGCUUCUAGUGAGUACUUAACUACCCGUACCGCAAACCGACACAGGUAGUCGAGGAGAGAAUCCUAAGGUGAGCGAGUGAACUCUCGUUAAGGAACUCGGCAAAAUGACCCCGUAACUUCGGGAGAAGGGGUGCUGAUCGCAAGAUCAGCCGCAGUGAAUAGGCCCAGGCGACUGUUUAUCAAAAACACAGGUCUCUGCAAAAUCGUAAGAUGACGUAUAGGGGCUGACGCCUGCCCGGUGCUGGAAGGUUAAAAGGAUGGGUUAGCUUCGGCGAAGCUCAGAAUUGAAGCCCCAGUAAACGGCGGCCGUAACUAUAACGGUCCUAAGGUAGCGAAAUUCCUUGUCGGGUAAGUUCCGACCCGCACGAAAGGCGUAACGAUCUGGGCACUGUCUCAACGAGAGACUCGGUGAAAUUAUAUUGUCCGUGAAGAUGCGGACUACCCGCGACAGGACGGAAAGACCCCAUGGAGCUUUACUGUAGCUUGAUAUUGAGUGUUUGUACAGCUUGUACAGGAUAGGUAGGAGCCAUAGAAACCGGAACGCUAGUUUCGGUGGAGGCGUUGGUGGGAUACUACCCUCGCUGUAUGACCACUCUAACCCGCACCACUAAUCGUGGUGGGAGACAGUGUCAGGUGGGCAGUUUGACUGGGGCGGUCGCCUCCUAAAAAGUAACGGAGGCGCCCAAAGGUUCCCUCAGAAUGGUUGGAAAUCAUUCGCAGAGUGUAAAGGCACAAGGGAGCUUGACUGCGAGACAGACAGGUCGAGCAGGGACGAAAGUCGGGCUUAGUGAUCCGGUGGUACCGUAUGGAAGGGCCAUCGCUCAACGGAUAAAAGCUACCCUGGGGAUAACAGGCUUAUCUCCCCCAAGAGUCCACAUCGACGGGGAGGUUUGGCACCUCGAUGUCGGCUCAUCGCAUCCUGGGGCUGUAGUCGGUCCCAAGGGUUGGGCUGUUCGCCCAUUAAAGCGGUACGCGAGCUGGGUUCAGAACGUCGUGAGACAGUUCGGUCCCUAUCCGUCGCGGGCGUAGGAAAUUUGAGAGGACCUGUCCUUAGUACGAGAGGACCGGGAUGGACAUACCUCUGGUGUACCAGUUGUGCCGCCAGGCGCAUCGCUGGGUAGCUACGUAUGGAUGUGAUAAACGCUGAAAGCAUCUAAGUGUGAAACACACCUCGAGAUGAGAUUUCCCAUUCCUUUAUGGAAGUAAGACCCCUGAAAGAUGAUCAGGUAGAUAGGUUAGAAGUGGCAGUGCGGUGACGCAUGAAGCGGACUAAUACUAAUCGGUCGAGGACUUAACCAAGUAAUUAG
Molecule: ribosomal RNA, 2930 nt
Filed under: Lactiplantibacillus plantarum
Lineage: Bacteria; Bacillati; Bacillota; Bacilli; Lactobacillales; Lactobacillaceae
Description: Lactobacillus plantarum 23S ribosomal RNA
Rfam family: Bacterial large subunit ribosomal RNA
Source: RNAcentral